RNAcentral lists this long non-coding RNA (2846 nucleotides) under Sus scrofa (pig). Its description in RNAcentral is "lncRNA (ENSSSCG00025032577.1, ENSSSCG00045025136.1, ENSSSCG00055015541.1)". Lineage: Eukaryota; Metazoa; Chordata; Mammalia; Artiodactyla; Suidae. The record is from RNAcentral.
AAAAAUGGGAAGUCCAAGAAUGUUUUGGGCUUGAAACUUACAUAGAUCUGGGAGUGAAAUAAUAUCAUUAGGAUACCAUCUCCCAGUCUUAAUAUGUCAGCUCUGAUUUCCUCUCUUUUGGCUUCAUCCUUAGCCAGAUUUUCUGAAAUUGUGACCAAAAGGGCUUAAAGCAGUUCUCAUAUUAUCUUCACAGUGUGUUCUUACUGUAAAGAACAUGCCUCUUCUCAGUUGGCUUCCCAUUACUGUGAACAAGGAAAUAAAGUCAUCUCUUUGACAAGAGAUGACUCUUGUGGUUGAUUACGCAUGUCAUGGAUAGGCAGAGGGAACAGAUUAUAAGAAUUCCUUGCAAUAGCUUCACUUUAAAAAUGAAAAAUUUCAUUAAUAUAAGAGUAAAAGGGAGAACAUUUUGAAGAGGCCAAGCUAUCGCCAUCACUGUCUGUUACAGAGCUUAUCAAAAGUUUUAAGUAUAGGGUUUUUAGACGCCUUCAUCACUAUAGCUCUGUGAGAGACAGGGUUUUUCAAUACUGUAUAUCCAGUGCCUAGUACAACCUGUGAUUUCUAUCAAGAAGUAAACAAGUAUUUGUUUACGUAAUGGUUCCAUUUUAUCUUAAUGUAGAUUCUUUUUAAGUUUUUCAAGAGGAACCUGAGAUUCAGAGGUUUUGAAACCCAUCUAUAGUCAUAAGAUUGUACACUGUGACCUGAUAGAACAUACAGAUAUUUAUUCUAAAAAGUUACUGUUAUAAAUAUUAUAGACCUCUAUCCUGGGAACCUCCAUAUGCUGUGGGUGCAGCCCUAGAAAAGACAAAAAAAAAGAGUUUAGAUUUAUUUGUUUUGUAAUUUUUUAUGCUCUUUUAAAAAUUGAAGUAUAUAGUUCAUUAACAGUCUUUUCUUAGUUUCAGUAUAGUGAUUCAAUAUUUUUACAGACUAUCUUCCAUUGUAGGUUAUUACAAAAUAAUAACUAUAUUUCCCUGUGCUGUGCAAUAUAUCUUUGUUGCUUAUCAGUUGUAUACAUAGUACUAUGUAUCAUGCCCUCCCCUUCCCUUUAUGUUCUUAAAAUAACAUAAACCAUUCAGAUUAAGUACUUUCCUGACCUUCUUUUAGGUUUAUUACAGCAAGCAAAUGUCUAUUAAUAAUUAUUCACUUUACAGUCCAUAUAUUUGUAUUUCCAUUAUUAGAAUAUGGAAAUAUUCCAUUACUAUACUGUGCUACAGAAUAUACAGCUUGAAUGAUACUCAAAAUUAUUUCCAUUAUUGUUUAGAUCCUUACCCAGCUUGAUGCCAUAACUAGUAUUUGAUACCAUACAUAUUUUUAUUCCUACACAAAUAACUGUGACUUAACACCUAACCCAUUAGCUAUUCAGUCUUCUUGUGGAUUUUGUUGUCAUGGCAAAAAAGCUAUGUGAAAUUAUUAACAAUUUUGGCUACAGUCUCUUUUGGAAUGUUUGUUGUCCUUAGAGACUCACAGCAGGCAAAAAAAAUCACAGUCCCCUUCAGCAACCUGUGCUUUCCUGAAAUAUUGGCUUUGACAAGCCUGCAGGGGUGAGAAAUAAUUUUGUGCAUGAGGGUUUGCACUUCAUGGGUGUCUUUCUGAGUUUAUUACCAAGAGGAAAUGGAAAGAAAGCCAUUCUCACCCUUACUUUAAACCACAUAGUUACAUGACUGUAGUGCUGAAUGAUUCACUUAGCUUUGGGGAAAGUCUAUACUGAGCCCUUACUUAGAUAAAAACCAGUACCUGGCACUAAUCUGAUUGAGUAUAUUGGUAUAAAUAUUACUAACCCUGCUAAUUGACUACUGUGUCUUUCCAGAACUUUUAAUGAUCUCUGACAUCUUAUUUCCCUUGUUUUGGCCUAUCAAAUUACAUCCACGUUAUGAGAGGAAAUUCUCUCUGAUGCCAACAUCUGCUUUCUUGACCUUAGAUGGGCUGCAUCUUAUAAGGCUACGUCUUUCUCCUCUUCAGAAAACACCUUUUCUACAUAGUUGUUCAGUAUUUAGGAAGAGCUCUUUUUAGAGGGAAUCUGCAAGCUAUCUUAAUAUUUGCAAACACCUUCAUGCAGUCUUUUGAAAAAGAUUACCAAGGGGAAAAUAAAAUAAGUAAAAGGGGAAAAUACGUAUUUAAUAUAUGUUUAAGUAUAAAUAAAUGCAUAUUUUUUCCUAAAGACAACAAGCAAAUGAUACUUGCUAUACUGUGCUAUGGAAUAUACAGGUUGAAAGAUACUCAAAUGAUCUGGCAAAUACUUUGAAACAGUGAGCUGCCUAAGCUUAAAGCAGACAGAAUAUUUGAAGUAGACCACAAAUUGAAAUGUACCAGAAAUCUCCUAUCAAUUGGGCCUAUGUUCACUCUUAUAAUAAAGAGGCUUUUGGAGUUUAUAUGCCACAGUCUAAUAGGUGACUGUUUAAUGGGAUUUACAUUCACUCAAACAAAAUUAGCCUGGUAAAAGACAAUGCAACAUGCUGUAAUGUAAAUAGGACUGACGGCAGAAUUAAAUGUUUGUGGAAACAGGGCAGCAGAUCUAUCAAGAGCUAAUUAGACAGAGAGUUCAGAGGCAGGCUUGGAAGUAAACAGUAUCAACAAAGAAAGAAGGAGAGCAAGAAUGGAGGAAAGAAAGACCUUUUGUGCAGGGAAGAAAAGGAACUAUACAAAAGUUAUUUAAUUAGAAACUCAGAUGGAGUCUCUCAUGAGAAAAACUCAUAUUGUUUUCUGAACCUGUUGAUAAUAUUAAGUUGAAUAGUAACUUUGAUAAAUUAUUGUGUGCCUAAGUAGUUCUUUGUUGUAUUUGGUAUUUGAAUAUUUGGCUUUAGUAGCAUUCUAUUCACAUGGUAACUUUCCUAGUUAUCCUCACUUUAUCC